UACGGAGGGUGCGAACGUUAAUCGGAAUUACUGGGCGUAAAGCGCGCGUAGGCGGUUCGGUAAGUGGGAUGUGAAAGCCCCGGGCUUAACCUGGGAACUGCAUUCCAAACUGCCGAGCUAGAGUAUGGUAGAGGGAGGUAGAAUUUCCUGUGUAGCGGUGAAAUGCGUAGAUAUAGGAAGGAAUACCAGUGGCGAAGGCGGCCUCCUGGAUCAAUACUGACGCUGAGGUGCGAAAGCGUGGGGAGCAAACAGG
Molecule: ribosomal RNA, 253 nt
Filed under: uncultured bacterium
Lineage: Bacteria
Description: partial 16S ribosomal RNA
Rfam family: Bacterial small subunit ribosomal RNA
Source: RNAcentral